Long non-coding RNA from Gallus gallus (chicken), 1624 nucleotides. RefSeq lists it as uncharacterized. The transcript is spliced from 2 exons. The record is from RefSeq and is a predicted model, not a curated record. Lineage: Eukaryota; Metazoa; Chordata; Aves; Galliformes; Phasianidae.
GUGUGUGCAAUCCACUGUGUCUCCUGCAAUCCCAUUACUGUCCCAGAUAGAGUGAUGAAUUUGCUGGUGUUGGCCGCUGUCUCUGCAUUUUUGACCAGGGUUUCCCAGAUGGCUGUCAGAAACACUGCAUCAGGCUUGGAUAUCCUGCAAGUAAUGCGCCUGGCAGAUGGGCAUGAGCUGCCGUGUUUGUUGCAAGUCCUUGUCCUCUGCCUGAAAGAGUAAGGAAAUGGGAGACCUGAGCCUUCUCUGAUGGUAAGGUCAUUUAUGCCCACCCGUUUUUCAUCCUCGUGGUUUUCCUGCGGCUGAAAUCUCUGUCCUUCUGCUUUGGAGGGAGCUCUUUUUUUGUCAGUGUGUGCGAUCCACUGUGUCUCCUGCAAACCAAGUGCUGUCCAUGGUAUAGUGAUGAAUUUGCUGGUGGUGGCUGCUGCCUCUGCAUUUCUGACCAGAGUUUCCGGGACGGAUGUGAAAAAAAUGGCCUCAGGCAUGGAUAUGAUGGAAGGAACGCGGUGAGCAAGGUCCAAUGAGAGAGGGCAGGGAGGUGAAGCCAGGGGCUGCACCUAGUGUUGGGUGGUGGCUGCUCGUCCGUGGUUGGUUUGUGUGUCUCUUGCAGGGUGGCAGAUGGCCAUGCAUUGUGUUGGCGUGUUUGUUGCAGGUCCUUGUUUUCAUUACCUGAAAGAGUAAGGUAAUGGGAGACGUGCGACUGCUCUCCUGGUAAGGUCAUUUAUGCCCACCCUUUCUUCAUGCUGUUUUUCCUGGGGCUGAAAUUUACAUUUCUGGUCUUUGAAGGCAGCUCUUCUGUCAGUGUGUGCAAUCCACUGUGGCUCCUGCAUCCCAAGUGCUGGCCGUGGUACAGUGAUGAAUUUGCUGGUGUUGGCCGCUGUCUCUGCAUUUUUGUCCUGAGAUUCCAGGAUGGACGUCAAAAAACUGCAUCAGGCAUGGAUAUCAUGCAAGUAAUGCGGUGAGCAAGGUCCAGUGAGAGAGGGCAGGGUGGUGAAGGCCCUGGCUGCCUUUAGGGAUGGAUGGUAGCUGCUUGUAUGUGGUUGGUUUGUGUGUCUCUUGCAGCCUGGCAGAUAUCCAUGAAUUGACGUGUUUGUUGCAAGUGCUUGUUUUCUGCCGGAAAGAGUAAGGUAAUGGGAGACCUGCGGCUGCUCUCCUGGUAAGGUCAUUUAUACCCACCCGUUUUUCAUCCUCGUGGUUUUCCUGCGGCUGAAAUCUCCGUCCUUCUGCUUUGAAGGGAGCUCUUUUUUUGUCAGUGUGUGCAAUCCACUGUGUCUCCUGCAAACCAAGUGCUGUCCAUGGUAUAGUGAUGAAUUUGCUGGUGGUGGCUGCUGCCUCUGCAUUUCUGACCAGAGUUUCCGGGACGGAUGUGAAAAAAAUGGCCUCAGGCAUGGAUAUGAUGGAAGGAACGCGGUGAGCAAGGUCCAAUGAGAGAGGGCAGGGAGGUGAAGCCAGGGGCUGCACCUAGUGUUGGGUGGUGGCUGCUCGUCCGUGGUUGGUUUGUGUGUCUCUUGCAGGGUGGCAGAUGGCCAUGCAUUGUGUUGGCGUGUUUGUUGCAGGUCCUUGUUUUCAUUACCUGAAAGAGUAAGGUAAUGGGAGACGUGCGACUGCUCUCCUGGUAAGGUCA